UAAGCAUAUCAAUAAGCGGAGGAAAAGAAACCAACAGGGAUUGCCCUAGUAACGGCGAGUGAAGCGGCAACAGCUCAAAUUUGAAAUCUGGCUUCGGCCCGAGUUGUAAUUUGCAGAGGAAGCUUUAGGCGCGGCACCAUCUGAGUCCCCUGGAACGGGGCGCCAUAGAGGGUGAGAGCCCCGUAUAGAUGGACGCCUAGCCUGUGUAAAGCUCCUUCGACGAGUCGAGUAGUUUGGGAAUGCUGCUCAAAAUGGGAGGUAAAUUUCUUCUAAAGCUAAAUAUUGGCCAGAGACCGAUAGCGCACAAGUAGAGUGAUCGAAAGAUGAAAAGCACUUUGAAAAGAGGGUUAAAUAGCACGUGAAAUUGUUGAAAGGGAAGCGCUUGUGACCAGACUUGCGCCGGGCGGAUCAUCCGGUGUUCUCACCGGUGCACUCCGCCCGGCUCAGGCCAGCAUCGGUUCUCGCGGGGGGAUAAAGGCCCUGGGAACGUAGCUCCUCCGGGAGUGUUAUAGCCCGGGGCGUAAUGCCCUCGCGGGGACCGAGGAUCGCGCAUCUGCAAGGAUGCUGGCGUAAUGGUCAUCAGCGACCCGUCUUGAAACACGGACCAAGGAGUCAAGGUUUUGCGCGAGUGUUUGGGUGUAAAACCCGCACGCGUAAUGAAAGUGAACGUAGGUGAGAGCUUCGGCGCAUCAUCGACCGAUCCUGAUGUUUUCGGAUGGAUUUGAGUAGGAGCGUUAAGCCUUGGACCCGAAAGAUGGUGAACUAUGCUUGGAUAGGGUGAAGCCAGAGGAAACUCUGGUGGAGGCUCGCAGCGGUUCUGACGUGCAAAUCGAUCGUCAAAUCUGAGCAUGGGGGCGAAAGACUAAUCGAACCAUCUAGUAGCUGGUUACCGCCGAA
RNAcentral lists this ribosomal RNA (897 nucleotides) under Arxotrichum succineum. RNAcentral's name for it is "partial large subunit ribosomal RNA". It matches the Rfam family "Eukaryotic large subunit ribosomal RNA", at positions 35 to 965 of the family's 3401-position model. Lineage: Eukaryota; Fungi; Ascomycota; Sordariomycetes; Sordariales; Chaetomiaceae. The record is from RNAcentral.